Molecule: ribosomal RNA, 460 nt
Filed under: uncultured bacterium
Lineage: Bacteria
Description: partial 16S ribosomal RNA
Rfam family: Bacterial small subunit ribosomal RNA
Source: RNAcentral
CCUACGGGCGGCAGCAGUGAGGAAUAUUGGUCAAUGGACGAGAGUCUGAACCAGCCAAGUAGCGUGAAGGAUGACUGCCCUAUGGGUUGUAAACUUCUUUUAUAAAGGAAUAAAACGAGGCACGUGUGCCUUUUUGUAUGUACUUUAUGAAUAAGGAUCGGCUAACUCCGUGCCAGCAGCCGCGGUAAUACGGAGGAUCCGAGCGUUAUCCGGAUUUAUUGGGUUUAAAGGGAGCGUAGAUGGGUUGUUAAGUCAGUUGUGAAAGUUUGCGGCUCAACCGUAAAAUUGCAAUUGAUACUGGCAGUCUUGAGUACAGUUGAGGUAGGCGGAAUUCGUGGUGUAGCGGUGAAAUGCUUAGAUAUCACGAAGAACCCCGAUUGCGAAGACAGCUUACUAAACUGUGACUGACAUUGAUGCUCGAAAGUGUGGGUAUCAAACAGGAUUAGAUACCCCAGUAGUC